UCAUGGCUCAGAUUGAACGCUGGCGGCAUGCUUUACACAUGCAAGUCGAGCGGCAGCGCGGGGGCAACCCUGGCGCGGGAGCGGCGAACGGGUGAGUAAUGCAUCGGAACGUACCCUGGAGUGGGGGAUAACGCCGCGAAAGCGGCGCUAAUACCGCAUAUGCUCUGAGGAGGAAAGUGGGGGACCGCAAGGCCUCACGCUCUGGGAGCGGCCGAUGUCCGAUUAGCUAGUUGGUGGGUAAAGGCUUACCAAGGCGACGAUCGGUAGCUGGUCUGAGAGGAUGAUCAGCCACACUGGGACUGAGACACGGCCCAGACUCCUACGGGAGGCAGCAGUGGGGAAUUUUUGGACAAUGGGGGCAACCCUGAUCCAGCCAUGCCGCGUGAGUGAAGAAGGCCUUCGGGUUGUAAAGCUCCUUUUUGGUCCGGAAGAAAGCGCCUUGCCUAAUACGCGAGGUGGUUGACGGUACCGGCAGAAUAAGCACCGGCUAACUACGUG
RNAcentral lists this ribosomal RNA (498 nucleotides) under uncultured bacterium. RNAcentral describes it as "bacterial SSU rRNA". It matches the Rfam family "Bacterial small subunit ribosomal RNA", at positions 17 to 507 of the family's 1533-position model. The record is from RNAcentral.